Homo sapiens (human) is the source of this 677-nucleotide long non-coding RNA. Ensembl annotates it as TTN antisense RNA 1. Its record names the gene TTN-AS1. NCBI's taxonomy places the organism in Eukaryota, Metazoa, Chordata, Mammalia, Primates, Hominidae. The record is from Ensembl.
GGCCAAUACUAAAUUAUUGCUGCAUUUUACACUUGAUGUCAUCUCAAAAAUGGAGAAAAAUAAGUCAUUGUGUACAAUGCAGCUGUAUAGUCCUUGGUCUACCAGCUGAACAUUACAUAUGACUCAGGUUGGCUGUGCUUGAUACUUGGCCUACAGCAUUACUAGCAACAAACGUCUUCUUCCUUUGGUGAACUGAAUGAGGCACCAGGAUACACAUGAACUGCCACUGGACAUGAACUGCACACAAUAAAAACCCGGCAUUGAAAACGGGCUGGCUGCCCUUCAGAAGUGACAGUGUCCUGAAGCGGGGUGAUGAUGGCAGGUGGAUAAACAGGCAUUUCCUGAUCAGGAGACACAACUUCUGGAACUAAAGAAAGAAACCACAAGAUUUGUCAUGAUUAAGUCACCAUAGAGACCUCACAGAAGGGAGCAUGUAGGUUUAUCUUAAUUUAUUUCACUGCAGAGUGCUUUCAAAGUUGGGUAGCAAUCUACUUUUAUGAGCUCCAAAUUGUAUUUUUAAAUGCACUGGGAAAGGACAAAAGCCUGCUUCUUAGGUUUUAUUUUCAGCUGGAAGUAGCGAGGCAUUCCUACCUUCCACUGAGAGUGAAGCUGAUGUUGUGGCAACACCAUAGUCAUUCUUGGCUUCACAGGUAUAGACUGCCGCAUCCUCUGGGAAG